RNAcentral lists this ribosomal RNA (492 nucleotides) under uncultured bacterium. RNAcentral describes it as "partial 16S ribosomal RNA". It matches the Rfam family "Bacterial small subunit ribosomal RNA", at positions 29 to 507 of the family's 1533-position model. The record is from RNAcentral.
AGUGAACGCUGGCGGUAGGCCUAACACAUGCAAGUCGAACGGCAGCACAGUAAGAGCUUGCUCUUACGGGUGGCGAGUGGCGGACGGGUGAGGAAUACAUCGGAAUCUACUUUUUCGUGGGGGAUAACGUAGGUAAACUUACGCUAAUACCGCAUACGACCUACGGGUGAAAGCAGGGGAUCUUCGGACCUUGCGCGAUUGAAUGAGCCGAUGUCGGAUUAGCUAGUUGGCGGGGUAAAGGCCCACCAAGGCGACGAUCCGUAGCUGGUCUGAGAGGAUGAUCAGCCACACUGGAACUGAGACACGGUCCAGAGUCCUACGGGAGGCAGCAGUGGGGAAUAUUGGACAAUGGGCGCAAGCCUGAUCCAGCCAUACCGCGUGGGUGAAGAAGGCCUUCGGGUUGUAAAGCCCUUUUGUUGGGAAAGAAAAGCAGCAGGUUAAUACCCCGCUGUUCUGACGGUACCCAAAGAAUAAGCACCGGCUAACUUCGUG